GCAAUUCCUUCAGGGAUCUUCUUCUGAGGGUUCAGAAGAAGGAAACAUCUUCUGUGUCCAAGAACUUAAGGAUUUCCCAGUACUCGGGAGGCUAAGGCAGGAAGAUAAAAAAAGAAUUCAAGGACUUAUAGAUGCAAAGAAGUACUAUGAGAAGGAUUUUUGUCCUGGAUCAGCUGUCACCGUACUGCAGCGCUUGUGUUCAAGUAACCUUCACGUACGAGCCUCUUGCUGUACUACAGAGCCAGCACCACAGCUCACUUCAUCUGGUCACAUAGGCACCGGAUCAUGUCAUGUCAUCACAGGAACAGACUUGUGGAGUCCGGCGUCGUGGUGCACGCCUGUAGUCCCAGCACUGAGGAGGCUGAGGCGGGAGUCUGGCUGUGGGUCCGAGGCCAGCCUGGACUACAUAGCGAGACCGUCUCCAAAAACCAAACAAUAAAUGAAUGAAUAAACAAACAGGAUUUGUGUCUCCCAGUGCCUGGCUUUGCUCCAGUUA
Heterocephalus glaber (naked mole-rat) is the source of this 496-nucleotide long non-coding RNA. RefSeq lists it as uncharacterized. NCBI's taxonomy places the organism in Eukaryota, Metazoa, Chordata, Mammalia, Rodentia, Bathyergidae. The record is from RefSeq and is a predicted model, not a curated record.